Molecule: long non-coding RNA, 493 nt
Filed under: Spirodela polyrhiza (greater duckweed)
Lineage: Eukaryota; Viridiplantae; Streptophyta; Magnoliopsida; Alismatales; Araceae
Description: long non-coding RNA (SPOL_LNC001463)
Source: RNAcentral
GGCGCGGGGUGGGCAGAGGGAGGAACAGAGGGGACUCACCAGAGGGUGGGGUGGGCAGGGGGCGGAAGAGAGAGAGUGCUCUCCGGAAGGUGAGCAGAGGGAGAGCCGAGGCCAGGACAUCCUCGAAUGAAGAAAGCACGUACUUCUUUGGCAAAGUUAGCAUAUACAGAGUCAGAGAGAGAGGGGGAGAGAGGGAGAGAGAGAGAGAUAUAGAGACGAAGAGAGAGAGAGCAAAGGAGGAAAGUCGGACCGACCUUCCCAUCUUGGUUCUUGCCGCUUUCUGCCUUCUGUGAUCUGAAGGCUGCUGCGGCCGGCGGAGGGCCGGUCACAGUUGCGUUGGCAGGACCCAGAGACUGGGAGAUUGCCAUCGGUUCACGACGGCGGCCGGAGGAGCUCCCUCUGGACCACGGGUUUCCUCUGGGCGGCCGGUGGGUCUCAGAUGCGAGGAGGAGAGAGAUGACGGGAAGAGACUACUUAUAUAAGUACCUAUAGG